Molecule: RNA transcript, 5711 nt
Organism: Hordeum vulgare subsp. vulgare (domesticated barley)
Lineage: Eukaryota; Viridiplantae; Streptophyta; Magnoliopsida; Poales; Poaceae
Exons: 14
Source: RefSeq, a predicted model, not a curated record
UUUUUACCAUAAGGUUAGUGCUUGCACGAUGGAGUUACAGUGAUGCACGUGGAUUGUUUUUUUUUGGGUAUAUGCCCGUUGGGUUUUGUUUCAUGGUUGUGUGUAUCUUUUGGUGUAUAGGGCAGGAGUUAUUUAGAAAAUAUAUAUUUUUAAUAUUGAUUUACUCCCUUCAUUCGUAAAUAUAUGACAUUUUGGUAGUUUAAAUAAGGAACGGAUGGAGUAAUAUACUCCUACAAAGCAGGUUUUACUUGAUUUUAAAAAAGACGGUAUCCUCCACAUAGUACUAAUAUUCUUUUAUCUAUUAUACUAAUACAAAAGCAGGGUUGGUCUAGACUUUUGAGGCUGCCUCUAUCGAAUCGAUCGAUUCGAAUCAGAACCACGGCGAGGAAAUGGCACAGCCGCCGCGGUGGCAGGAGAGGCAGCAGCUCGCGCUCCUCUGCGACCUCGUCGCCGACUCCCUCCUCCCCCACCUCGAACCCGAAUCGCUGGCGACGCGGCGGCCGCAGCUCACGCGGGAGGAAGAGCGGUGCGUACUCCUCGCGCUCUCCCGGGUAAAUAAGGCAAUUCGAGGAUGGGAUGACGACAAGGUGGAUGAUGGGGAGCAAGGGUGCGCAUCGGAUCAGAUUGUUUCGUGUUCGGGAGAAGCUCACCGUUGCUCUUUGCCACCGGACCACCAUUUUGAUGAUGGGUUUAGCUGCCUGGCCAAUAUUAUCUCCAUAGUGGUUGGCUCACAUCAUUUAUGUAGUGAUUAUAUUAAGCACUCAGUUGGGAAUAUCUUGGUGGCCAUCUCUAAUUCCCUAAUGAAGUUUGAAGCCGUUUGGGUUCAGUUUGUUGAGCUGGUCUGGGCAGCUAUACACACAGUAUCAACAUGCGCUCAUAAUCAUUCUACAAUUAAUGCCACCAAAGGUUCUGUCGGUUGUUCAUCUGCUGCGGAAAGCAUAAGUCAUGACACUAUGACUAAAAAAAGCACCAGUAUUACAAGCUUUAUAGCAGUACUCAAACUACGAUGUGUCAAUAGCAGUAGGCAGAUAAUGACUUGCCUCUUUCGAGUACUACACAUUAUUCUGAAGCUUCUGAAACUCAAUGACUCUGAACUGAAAGAUGACUUCAUUUGCCUGUCCAUUUAUCAUAUUCAGAAGUUACAUUGGGAUCCUGGUUACCAAUUCAAUGCGGGGAAACUUGUAAGCCUUGUCACGGAUGACCGACAUAGUUUGAGUAAAGAUUCUGCACAGUUUGGAAUUGUGUCAGGCAGUCUCCUCCAGCUCUUGUGCUCUUUAGUUGAGCAAAGUGACACGGAAGACACGGACCGACGAGAUGUAUUUGUGAAACUUGCAGAUGUCAUUCCUAGAUUAGCAACUUACUUACAAGAGCAACAGCAUAUCCCAAAAAGUCUCUCUCAGUAUUCAAAGCACAAAAUAUUGAUGUUAAUGAUAAGGCUUAAGCCUCACAUACAGCAGAACUGCUCACAUAUUGUUUGUUUGCUGAAAUUACUUCGACGCCACUUUCAGAGUCUACUCCAUGAACCUAUGUUCCAACAUAGAACUAAACUGGAGAAUUGUUUAGAGGGAUCCCCAUUUUUGUUGAGUGGUGUAGGUUUGGGCGAGCUUCAGGAUAAAUCUACCCGGCACUUAAAAAGACAGGCUAUGUAUUUGUUUCUUAGUUGUUCGAUAUUCUUGGCUUGCAGUGGAAAUGAUAGUAGACUGAAUUGUUCAUGCAAGAGAGAUCACAAAGAGCAAGGCUGCACUGAUAAUUGCAACUAUUUUGGCUUGUCAGAAAUCUCGGUUUGGUUUCAGAGAUGUUGCUUAGACGAGAUUUUGGACUCAAAAUCAUCAACAGAUAUUGUUUUAUGCUUUCUGCAGUUAUAUAUGGAGGAGGACGAUAUGUUAUUCAUCAUUCUCUUGCAGCUUUUGGAUGCUCCACUUAUUUCGUUGGCAAUAGAUAAGAUGGAAACUAAAUGGACGUCUGAACUGAUUGGUGCCAAACUGUUCUCCACCAUUUUUGACCCAGUUUAUAUUUUUCAUCAAUGGCUUUCAUUGCUACACUAUGAUCACUUGGUACUUGUUGAUUAUCUCAUAGCUAAAGAUGUAGGUGUGCAUUGUGCCCAAUAUCUAUUACGGUGCCUACGACUGGUAUCCAGGUGUUGGGAUGCUUUUGUUGACGACUCAGUUUACGAGGCGCAAAUACAAAAACUCAACUGUAAAAGGCAAAGAAUCUUCAAAAAUAUAAAUAGUUUCACUGGUAGCUCAAUGGAAGGCACCAAGUUAGGUUCCGCUCAUGACAAGGAAAGUAAGAGGAAAGAACCACUUUUCCUGAGUGCUAAAGUAUGUCUCCUUUCGUUAAAGAGAACAUUGGAAGAUCUUCAUAAGAAAGAUUUAUUCCCUUACAAUCCAAAGCCUCUCCUUAAAAGCUUGGCCAGAUUUGAGGAGCUCUGUUAGCAGUACUGAAACAAUUAAGUUGCCCCUGGGGACACGCUACUAUUUCUGUGGUUGAAUAUACGGUGUUUUGGCUAAUUAGGGAUGGUUCUACAUCAAAAACGCUGCCACUCAUCAUCGCCUCAGCCUCGACAUCGACAUCGGCCACUUCGCCUUUUGGCACCCCAACCGUAAGCAAGGACGGUAACCUCGACGACAUCAUUGUCUAUUUCCUUACCAUUGCUUUGAUCGCUGGGAGCCUAUUGCAUACCUUACCCAUCAAGACUAGCGAGUUGAGAAUUGCCGGACCACAUUACUUGUGCACCGUAGUGUUCAUCUUAUGCCGCAUAGCUACAUUUAGCGUGCAAACAUUUUGUUAUCUGCAUUGUGCCAUAAGUCUCUCCCGUGCAUAUCCCUCAUACUUGUCUCAUAUAUAUUGGCUCGAGCAUCAAGCAUUGCCUAUAAAAAAAGAGAGAAAAAGAAGAAAAAGCGUUUAAGCAAAAGAGGAGAUACAAAAGAGCUUAUAAGCAAUAACAGUAGCAUCGCCAAAUUGCAUGUCAUAUUGGUAGCAUAUUAUAUCAUACUUGAUCAUCUUGGAUCAUCCAUACAUAACAUACUUUGGAUUAAAGACGACACGUUUACUCUUAUUGGUUGGUGCACAAGCGCGUAUCUAGCCCAUUUGAGCAACCGAGCUAUUGUCUCUCAAGUAUCCAUGCAACAAGAGCUUUUCCCGGGUCUCACAUAUCUUGUGCUCAUUCCUUGGUUGCACGGAUCCCAUUUAUUUAUCCGUGUGUGUGUUCCUAGUGCCACCAUAGCUAUUGAUCUAUUUGUUUUGCAUUGCAUUUUUGUGAAUCUUCCUCAGCAUUUUCGAUAUCUUGACUAACAUUUUGCUUGAAUUUUGUGCCACUUGUUCUAACCGAGCCACUCGAUAAGCUUUACUUUGUAGGUGUGAGGGAACAAGUACGGUACCAAUUCCACUAUUCUCUCCUUUCACAUUGAGUGAAACAGGAUACAUCCUCAACUUUGGGAAACGGUAUUGGUAUUGUUUAUCUCAUUUCGCACUAAUACUUGCUCGAGUCUUGCGAUGGCUAGGCAAAGCACAUCUACUUCGGUCUACGACCACAACGACGAGUUUGAUGCCAUGAAUAAAACCAUCGACGCCAAGAUGGAUGCUCAUUUGGAGGAGCUCAAAGCCCUCAUCAACAACCGCAUGAGAUCUUCAUCAUCUUCGAGGAGACUCUCAAGUGCACAUGCUUCUGAGCUACUAUCUCCGGCAAGAUCAAACCGGCAUCGACACCAUUACCGACAUGACAAACUAAUGGCGCAAACAUCAAGGCGUCCAAGGACGAACACGCGUGAAAGUCACGAGUUCGAUACCAACCAUUGCUCGAUGACUUCACCACCUACAUUGGCAUAUUCGCCAAGCGACUUCAAGGCAUCUCCGCCUUUGGAUAUGCGGCAUCUUCGCCAACAAACACUUCAGAAGCUUCCCAAGCUCAAGUUCACGACUUCCACGAGAUACCACGACUUUCACAUUGACUUCGAGAUUUCAUUCCAUGGGACUCAUGACCCCGAAGAGUACCUCAAGUGGGAGCACAAGAUGGACACCUACGUCAAGCUACUUCAAGUUCCUUUCGAAGGUCAAAAGAAGUGCACCACAAGAAACUUCCAUGACUACACGUCGACAUGGUGGCUUCACACAGCUUCGAAGAGCUUUGAGAUGAGUUGGUCCAAGACAAAGAAAGUUAUGCGAUAAGAGUUUGUGACCUCUACAUACACGGAACAUCUUCAACGCCAAUUGGAGAACACCAUACAAGGAUCCAAGCCCUUCAGCGAGUAGUUCAUAGAGAUGAAGAAAGCCUUGCGACGAGACGGAGUUGCCGACCCCAUUUGGAUGAAGUUCCACUUCAUGAUGGGAUUGAACAACGACAUCGCCAAGACUAUCUUCGCCAACACCUACAAGUCUCUCUAUGACCUCUACUUUGGUGCUCUCAUGGCAGAACAAGAACUCAAGGCCAAGAUGACUCGACCCCGAGCACACUUCGCGACAACCAAGCUCCACGACUACGAGCAUGAGGACGGUACCGCCAAGAUGUCGAAGCCCAACAAGCUCCUAAACGACACUCCCAAGUAUGACUUCACCGCCAUCCUUAUUUGUGGUGUUGACUAUGCCGAGUCUAUCACGAAUCUUUUUGAAGACGGUGUGGCGACGACCACGGCUACGGAGCCAAUCACGGAACAUGCUUUGGAGGCGAGUGACAAGGUGGCAAGCAAGGAUGAUGCUUCCAUCUUUGGAGGCGGGAGUGAUGAUGUGCCAUCUUCAGCCUUCAUCCACGGCAAUAGUGACGACAUGGUUGAGCAUGGGAUUUUCCCUUCGAGCACGUCGGCGUUUGGAGAUGAGUUCAGAGACUUUUGCCACCAUAUUGAGAGUGAGAGUGACUUCACCACUAGCCCCAUAUGUGAUGAGUUGCCCAAGUUCCCAUGUGAGGAGAGCCACAACCCCCACUACUUGAGUGAGAUGAGUGACUACACCAUAUGUGAGAAUGAGUGCAACUACCUAGAGGGAGUGUGUGAGCCACCACCACAUAGAGCAAGCGACGUAGUUGAUACAACAUGUGAGGCCAUUUUGAUUUCUAACAACUUAACCUCUACCUCUAUUGUGUCUUCUCCUUUGGUGCUAGGUCCCAUAUAUGAUGACGCGUCGAUCCUCGACUACUUCGUCCACCCAUUGGACAAGAUGAUGGCCAUGGUGGAAUAUGAUGCACCCCACAUGGUUCCAUCACGAUGACGAUGACCAUGAUUUGGUCUUUGGCACCUCACCUACACCACAUGAGUGGUAUGAAAAAGGUAACAUAGGUGAAGGUGAUGCUCUUGUCCCACUAGUGGACAUUGAUUGCUUGCAUGAUGAUGAUCCCCUAUAGCCACCACCAAGAGGACACCCUCGGAGCGCCGCAUCGCAUCAACACAUCGGCCGCUGCCAACGACCACCGUCGAUCCGCCACCAUCGACCAUGGAAUCCCCUUGCCGAUGUUUUCACCCCCCGUCGUGGUACAUCAUAAAGAGGGAAAUAAAAAGAAACUGGAAUUCUCGACCGGGAAACCGAGAAAAAGCAGAAAAAUCACCAGACUCCAAAUGAUCUAAAACUUCACGAAGAAUUUUUAUGAAAUAUUUAAGAAUUAUUGGGCUUAAAAUAUACCAGAGGGGGCCAUCUACUGGCCACAAGCCAACAGGGCGAGCCUACCCCUGGCACGCCCUGAUGUCUUGUGGAGCCCGAGCAAUGAUACGCCUCUAAUGUAUCGA